This 29-nucleotide small RNA is filed under the name Bombyx mori (domestic silkworm). Its description in RNAcentral is "piRNA piR-bmo-1577871". The record is from RNAcentral. Lineage: Eukaryota; Metazoa; Arthropoda; Insecta; Lepidoptera; Bombycidae.
UCCUACUGGUUUUUUAUACAUUUUAUCGU